RNAcentral lists this ribosomal RNA (1338 nucleotides) under metagenome. RNAcentral's name for it is "bacterial LSU rRNA". It matches the Rfam family "Bacterial large subunit ribosomal RNA", at positions 1566 to 2925 of the family's 2925-position model. The record is from RNAcentral.
GGCGGACCGAAUUAAGAGUAGGGAAGUGUGUGAGCCAUGCGUCAAGAAAAGCCGCUAUUGUUUUACUUAAGCCCGUACCGUAAACCGACACAGGUGGAUGAGGAGAGAAUCCUAAGGCCGACGGGAGAAGCAUUGUUAAGGAACUCGGCAAAAUGACUCCGUAACUUCGGGAGAAGGAGUGCCAGCGAGAGCUGGCCGCAGAGAAUUGGCCCAAGCAACUGUUUAGCAAAAACACAGGUCUAUGCAAAACCGUAAGGUGAAGUAUAUGGGCUGACGCCUGCCCGGUGCUGGAAGGUUAAGAGGAGAGGUUAGCGGUAACGCGAAGCUUUGAAUUUAAGCCCCAGUAAACGGCGGCCGUAACAAUAACGGUCCUAAGGUAGCGAAAUUCCUUGUCGGGUAAGUUCCGACCCGCACGAAAGGCGUAAUGAUUUGGGCACUGUCUCAACAAUGCACCCGGUGAAAUUGAAAUACCAGUGAAGAUGCUGGUUACCUGCGCCAGGACGGAAAGACCCCAUGGAGCUUUACUCCAGCUUGAUACUGGGAUUCGGUAUUGCAUGUACAGGAUAGGUGGGAGGCUAGGAAGUGAUAACGCCAGUUGUCACGGAGCCGCUGUUGGGAUACCACCCUUGCAGUAUUGGAUUUCUAACCAGCGACCAUGAACUGGUCGGGGGACAAUGUCAGGUGGGGAGUUUGACUGGGGCGGUCGCCUCCGAAAGGGUAUCGGAGGCGCUCAAAGGUUCCCUCAGACGGACGGAAACCAUUCGAAGGGUGCAAAGGCAGAAGGGAGCUUGACUGCGACACCGACGGGUGGAGCAGGUACGAAAGUAGGACUUAGUGAUCCGGUGGUAUAGAGUGGGAUUGCCAUCGCUCAACGGAUAAAAGCUACCCUGGGAUAACAGGCUUAUCACUCCCAAGAGUUCACAUCGACGGAGUGGUUUGGCACCUCGAUGUCGGCCCAUCGCAUCCUGGGGCUGAAGUAGGUCCCAAGGGUUGGGCUGUUCGCCCAUUAAAGCGGUACGCGAGCUGGGUUCAGAACGUCGUGAGACAGUUCGGUCCCUAUCCGGCGUGGGCGUAGGAUAUUUGAGAGGAGCUGUCCUUAGUACGAGAGGACCGGGAUGGACUGGCCGCUGGUGUAUCUGUUGCAUACCAAAUGCAUGGCAGAGUAGCCAAGCCGGGACGGGAUAAACGCUGAAGGCAUCUAAGCGUGAAGCCCCCCUCAAGAUGAGAUAUCCCUACGUAAGUAGUAAGACCCCUUGAAGACGACGAGGUAGAUAGGUCAGAGGUGGAAGUACAGUAAUGUAAGGAGCUGACUGAUACUAAUCGGUCGAGGGCAUGACC